UACGUAGGGGGCGAGCGUUGUCCGGAAUCAUUGGGCGUAAAGAGCGUGUAGGCGGCCAUACAGGUCAGCUGUGAAAACUCGAGGCUCAACCUCGAGACGUCGGUUGAAACCGUGUGGCUAGAGUCCGGGAGAGGAGAGUGGAAUUCCCGGUGUAGCGGUGAAAUGCGCAGAUAUCGGGAAGAACACCCGUGGCGAAGGCGGCUCUCUGGGACGGUACUGACGCUGAGACGCGAAAGCCAGGGGAGCGAACGGG
Molecule: ribosomal RNA, 253 nt
Filed under: uncultured bacterium
Lineage: Bacteria
Description: partial 16S ribosomal RNA
Rfam family: Bacterial small subunit ribosomal RNA
Source: RNAcentral